This is a long non-coding RNA of Triticum aestivum (bread wheat), 1323 nucleotides long. RefSeq lists it as uncharacterized. Lineage: Eukaryota; Viridiplantae; Streptophyta; Magnoliopsida; Poales; Poaceae. The record is from RefSeq and is a predicted model, not a curated record. The transcript is spliced from 5 exons.
CUUUAAGCCCCCCCUCCAAUCCAGAUGCAGCCCCCCCCAAUAUAUGACAGAGUGGGAGAGCAAACCAGGACCAAGCUGGCAGAUGCAACACUUACUUCUCGCAUAUCUAUUCAGAAGUUUUGUUGCGUCUCUCCCAGUUUAGUAAUUUCAAGCGCGGUCUUGUGUUGGAGACUGGUUUCGGAGGGUUAAUGCAUCUAAAAAUAGCUCACAAGCUUAACUUGAUAUUCAGUGCAUCCUUGAUGGUCAGAGUAAAUCCAGAUGAAUGCAUUUUAGCAUUGGACCAAACAAGGAAAAUACCAAUUACAGACCAGGAAGUAAACGAUGCAUUUGGUCUGCCACAAGGAAGCAGGACCAUUCCUCCAGGCCACUCAGAUUUAUCUGUAGUUUGUAUAGAGUUCAGCAGGUUGGCAUCAUCCAUGAGUACCGAAGGCGUACAUAGUUUGAAGGCUGCUGAAUUUAUCUUAUCUAAGGCAGUAGAUGAGAAUUCAAGCAAAGUGGAGUGUGAAUGCUUCAAGAUAGCUUUUGUAAUUUUCUCGUUUGGUCAUGUUCUGAACCCGUGCGCCAAGCACGACUACACUAGUGUUGAUUACUGGGCAGCACUGGUUAUGCCGUCGGAGAUAAAUUACUACGACUGGUGUAGGCUUGUCAAAUACAGUUUGAUGAAAGGGGUUAGGAAAAUGAAGAUUGACAUUCACAAUGGGAACACAACAAUCCACAUUAUUGGUUGUCACCUUCUCCUCCAGGUAUAUUGCACAACAAGAUAAAAAUUGUGUUACUAUUGCAAGGGAAUAUUAUACGUGACCAGAUCAUCAGCAAAAAGGCAACAAGCUAUGAAUGCAUGACCCUUAUUCUUCGCCGCUUAGCACAAAUCGAGCAGAAAAAUUCAACAAAUGGAGAUGGUGCAAUUUGGCGAAAGUUCAUGGAACCAGACUUUACGCAUAGACCCAUUGUUUGCCGUUUCAGUCCAAACCGAACUCUUAAUGGAGAAACACAUCGACCAAUGCUGAAUGAUAUUUUGAAGAAAAGGAUUGUCGUUCUCGACCCCCAAGCAGGCCCAUUUGGAUUUAUGACCGAUCGAGUCAAAUUCCAUGAACAAGUCAAUCAUGCCAUCUACUGGAUGGAGAAGAGAGUUCCCUACAUUGAUGAUUGAAAAAAUCCCAAGUGAGCAGUUCGGCAUCUAUUCGUUAUUCAUGGCAAGGCACUACGACGGCGAGUCACUACGGGUCCCGUCCACGAAGGAAAUCGGUACCAAACGAAAUCCAAACACGAUGAAACUUUAUGAUGAUUUUCUAUAGACCAAAAGGGACCCUAGAACAUUCAGGA